Molecule: ribosomal RNA, 407 nt
Filed under: uncultured bacterium
Lineage: Bacteria
Description: partial 16S ribosomal RNA
Rfam family: Bacterial small subunit ribosomal RNA
Source: RNAcentral
GACGAACGCUGGCGGCGUGCCUAAUACAUGCAAGUAGGACGCAGUUGCGAACGGGUGAGCAACGAGUCGGUAACUACCUAUUAGAGGGGGAUAACUAUUGGAACCGAUAGCUAAUACCGCAUACUAGUAGAUGGACCUUGGUUGUAUUGGGUAGUAGGUAGGGGAAUGGCCUACCUAGGCAAAGUUACAUAGCCGACCUGGGAGGGUGCACCGGCAAACUGGGACUGAGGCAAGGCCCCGGCUCCUACGGGAGGCAGAAGUAGGGAAUCUUCGGAAAUGGGGGGAACCCUGACCGAGCAACGCCGCGGGAGUGAAGAAGGUUUUCGGAUCGUAAAGCUCUGUUGUUAAGGAAGCGGUACUUAACCAGAAAGGGACGGCUAACUACGUGCCAGCAGCCGCGGUAAUUC